RNAcentral lists this long non-coding RNA (498 nucleotides) under Ficedula albicollis (Collared flycatcher). RNAcentral describes it as "lncRNA (ENSFALG00000002237.2)". Lineage: Eukaryota; Metazoa; Chordata; Aves; Passeriformes; Muscicapidae. The record is from RNAcentral.
GGGGGGGGGGGGGGGGGGGGGGGGGGGGGGGGGGGGGGGGGGGGGGGGGGGGGGGGGGGGGGGGGGGGGGGGGGGGGGGGGGGGGGGGCACAGCGCUGCGCGGUUAGUGCACUCUGCUCCAGGGGACACUCAGGGUGCACGUUGGGAACAAUUUCUUCACAGGAAGCGUGAUUAGACACUGGACGCGCAGCACAGAGCGGUGUCGCCGUCCCUGGAGGUGUUUUAAGGAAACCUGGACGGGACCCCUGGUGCCGUGCUCUGCUUCACAAGGUGAUGUUGGGUCAGAGGUUGGACUCGAUGAUCCCAGAGGUGUUUUCCAGCCUAAUUGAUUCUGUGAUUUCACACAAGAUAAUUUUUCAGUCUGGUUACCUGGCCCACAGCCACCUUUGUUCAUACUCUAAUGGCAACCUUUACACGAUGGCAGAACCACUUAACCUUCAACGUAAUGGAGUUGCAGAUGCAGAUUUAAGCAACAGGGUCACAGGUGUCACAUUCUAA